Equus caballus (horse) is the source of this 2338-nucleotide long non-coding RNA. The record is from Ensembl. NCBI's taxonomy places the organism in Eukaryota, Metazoa, Chordata, Mammalia, Perissodactyla, Equidae.
GCCACAGCCAAGUGCCCUGCCAGCCUCAGCAGCAUGUGGUCCUUGGGCACUACCACCUCCUAGGGCAGCAAACACUGAAGUGCUCUGGAGAUCCCACAGCCCAGGUGGACGCCAGGCUUGGCGCACUUAGAACGACGCUGGCGCAUAGUUAGUGCGCAGCCCAUUUGGCUAUUGUGACUACUGAGAGCUCUGUGCCUGGCGCCGCUGGGCACUGAGGAUGUGGCCCCAUCCGCAUGCCAUCUCCUCGCUUGGUGACCGGUCCCGCCAUCCACCCAGGAACGUGGAACAGGCUCUCUGGACAUCCCGAGAGGGACCGGAGGAGCUCUAAAAUAGCUGCUGGGCAAGACUUGACCCCUUCCCUUUGGGACUGAGCGUUCACUGGGCCAUUUGGAAGCAUGGAUGCCACCCCAGCAGGUUUUAGCAGAAUUGGAGACGCAGAAAUGGCUGAGAGCAGGCAGGGACCACUGGUGGAAGCGGGAGGCGGAAGAGAAACCUCCCGGAAGAUAAGAGGCCUAGAUUUUCACACUGGUCAAAUGACUUUGCACCUUGUUUUUCCCAUAUUUGUGGCCUCAAUUCCUGCUGAAUCCCUCCGACGGACCCUGGAAAGAAUCAGAUGAAUGAGGGCCAGAAGCUGAGGGUUAAACAUCAAGCUCUGCCAUUUAUUAGCUCAGUGUUCCCUCCUGUGCCGCGCGGGCUUCCCGUACCACCCGCUGGGCUUGGUGUGGGCUGUGUGCAGACUCUGAUCACAGCAAUGCAUGUGAGAAGGGAGGUGGCAGGCUUGGCUAGAUCCUGCACGGGUGUCCGUGUGCACUUGAACACGCCCUAACAACCCCGGAAAAUGGUUAGUCUUUACAGCGUCUCCAUCUGGAUUAAGAGCCAGUGGGGUGUGAACUCUUGCUUUGUACUGUGCUUAGAACCUUCCUGGGGAGACUGGCACUGCAUGAGAAACUCAGGCAGAUGUCGCACAAGCUAUUGCGAGGACUGAGAUGGGAAGAUGUUUCAGAGCUCUCAGACUGUCAGUGCUUGCGAGAAGAAGAGAAGAAGGAGAAAUCACCUGGCUUCGGGCUUCACCCAAAGCGACAAGUGAGGUCUGUUUUCUGCACCCAACCCUUGGGGGGAAUAUCUGUCUUUUGGCAACAGAUAAGGAAAUUGAGGCUCAGAGAGAUGAAGCAAUUCACAUCUGAGUUGCACAGCAGACACACUUGGACUACUUUCAAAGCUGUCACCAGGGGAGACUGUGGACUUAUUCCAACCAUGUCGCUAUGGGGGAUGCUUUGGUGCCCUGCGCACAUCCUGAGGCCUGGGUCUGCUUUCAGCUGCACCCGUGGUGGGUGGAUGGUUCCAUGUGAGUUCUGACUCUUGCUCACAACCUCCCACCUCAGGCAAUGGACACGUGACUCUCUGGUUUUCUGCCUCAGGCCCGGUUGCGGGAGUGCAGGGGCAGCCCAGAAGUCAGAGGUCCCGAAGAAUCUAGCUCCUGUGUCUACAAGGGACAACUUCAAAAGCGCACAAUUAUAUUGACCUUUCCUCCUUCCCUGACUCAUUCCCGCCACCCCUCAUUUCUGCUUCUUGGGGUCACCCUCCUAAAUAAACUCUGUGAACCCUAGUCCUUGACUUAGGCUCUGCUUUUUGGGGAACACAAGCUGAAACAGGUGGUAUCACUGACAGCAUCAUCAAUCCCGCUUGUGGACUGACUUUCAGAAGCUGAGACCUGAUCUUUGGUACCACUUCCAGUGUGGCAAAGCUUUCAUCUUCCAGGAGAUGUCUGGCAACAGCCAAAUAUGAUCCAGAGCAACGCUUGGUACUGAGGCACGUGAUCAAUCGCACCCGGUAUGGAGUGGCAGCUGGGGUGGAGGCCAGCGUGGAGGACCGGCCUUUGCCAAGACUCAGCAUCAAGUCUGCUCUUGGAUGUGUCUUUGCUGUGAGAUCCUGGACCAGUGACUUGGCUUUUCCGGGCCCCAGGGGCUUCAUCUGUAAAGUGAGGGGCAGUGACACCCAGCUCCCAGGUCUGCUGUGAGGAUUGAGCGUAUUUGUGAAAUCAUUUUCUGAUCGAUAAAUAGCUGUAUGUACAUGAGUUACUAUUGGUUGAAAACAAGAUGGUGGCUGCAAAGUAAUGGGGCCAGUAAAUUGGGAAGGUCAGUUCUUCAGGGGAGUCUGAACACAUUUGAUCAGUGGGACCAUCAUUAGAAGGUCCUUCCCAAAAGGGUUCUGGGCUGGGACAACUUUUUUCUGGCUGUGGUCAUCCUGGUGUGCUGGUUACGAAGCAGCCCUUGGUCCUCCAAGGGCCGGCCUUGGAGCUGCUGUUUGUAGAGAAAUGGUUUGGGUUUGAGCUUGUUUU